RNAcentral lists this ribosomal RNA (462 nucleotides) under Streptococcus mitis. RNAcentral's name for it is "bacterial SSU rRNA". It matches the Rfam family "Bacterial small subunit ribosomal RNA", at positions 28 to 474 of the family's 1533-position model. The record is from RNAcentral. Lineage: Bacteria; Bacillati; Bacillota; Bacilli; Lactobacillales; Streptococcaceae.
GACGAACGCUGGCGGCGUGCCUAAUACAUGCAAGUAGAACGCUGAAGGAGGAGCUUGCUUCUCUGGAUGAGUUGCGAACGGGUGAGUAACGCGUAGGUAACCUGCCUGGUAGCGGGGGAUAACUAUUGGAAACGAUAGCUAAUACCGCAUAAGAGUAGAUGUUGCAUGACAUUUACUUAAAAGGUGCAAUUGCAUCACUACCAGAUGGACCUGCGUUGUAUUAGCUAGUUGGUGAGGUAACGGCUCACCAAGGCAACGAUACAUAGCCGACCUGAGAGGGUGAUCGGCCACACUGGGACUGAGACACGGCCCAGACUCCUACGGGAGGCAGCAGUAGGGAAUCUUCGGCAAUGGACGGAAGUCUGACCGAGCAACGCCGCGUGAGUGAAGAAGGUUUUCGGAUCGUAAAGCUCUGUUGUAAGAGAAGAACGAGUGUGAGAGUGGAAAGUUCACACUGUGACG